GUUCGAUUCUGGCUCAGAUUGAACGCUGGCGGGAUGUUACAUGCAAGUCGAACGGCAGCACGGACUUUGAUCAGGUGGCGAGUGGCGAACAGGUGAGUAAUGUAUCCGGAACGACAGUAGCGGGGAUAACUACGCGAAAGCGUAGCUAAUACCGCAUACGCCCUUCGGGGAAAGCGGGGGACCUUCGGGCCUCGCACUAUUAGAGCGGCCGAUAUCAGUUAGCUAGUUGGUGGAGUAACGGCUCCGCAGGCGACGAUCCGUAGCUGGUUUUGAGAGGACGACCAGCCACACUGGGACUGGAGCCAGCUGGGCUACGGGAAGGCAGCAGUGAAACGAUUUUGGACAAUGGGGAAACCCUGAUCCAGCCAUCCCGCGUGUGCGAUGAAGGCCUUCGGGUUGUAAAGCACUUUUGGCGGGAAAGAAACAUUUUGGGAUAUUACGUACAGAAAGCGACGUCCUGCCAGAUGACGCCGGCUGGCUACGUGCCAGCAGCUGCGCGGUAUGCAUAGGGUUACAGCGUUAAUCGGAAUUACUGGGCGUAAAGCGUGCGCAGGCGGUUUGAAGAAAGAUGUGAAAUCCCAGAGCUUAACUUUAGACUGCAUUUUUAACUACCGAGCUAGAGUGUCAAGAGGUGGAAUUCAUGAUGUAGCAGUGAAAUGCGUAGAUAUGCGGAGGGAACACCGAUGGCGAAGGCAGCCUCCUGGAUAACACUGAGCUCAUGCACUGUAUUAAGGAGCAAAACGGGAUUAGAUACCACAGUAGUCCACGCCCUAAGCGAUGUCAACUAGCUGUUGGAGCCUUCGGGCCUUGGUAGCGCAGCUAACGCGUGAAGUUGACCGCCUGGGAAGUACGGUCGCAAGAUUAAAACUCAAAAGGAAUUGGCGGGGACCCGCACAAGCGGUGGAUGAUGUGGAUUAAUUCCGUGCAACGCGAAAAACCUUACCUACCCUUGACAUGUCUGGAAUCCCGAAGAGAUUUGGGAGUGCUCGCAGAACCGGAACACAGGUGCCAUGGCUGUCGUCAGCUCGUGUCGUGAGAUGUUGGGUUAAGUCCCACCCAACAGGCGCAACCCUUGUCAUUAGUUACUACGAAAGAGCAUCUAAUGGAGACUGCCGGUGACAAACCGGAGGAAGGUGGGGAUGACGUCAAGUCCUCAUGGCCCUUAUGGGUGGGGCUUCACACGUCAUACAAUGGUCGGGACAGAGGGUCGCCAAACCCGCGAGGGGGAGCCAAUCCCAGAAACCCGAUCCGUAGUCCGGAUCGCAGUCUGCAACUCGACUGCGUGAAGUCGGAAUCGCUAGUAAUCGCGGAUCAGCAUGUCGCGGUGAAUACGUUCCCAGGUCUUGUACACACCGCCCGUCACACCAUGGGAGUGGGUUUUACCAGAAGUAGUUAGCCUAACCGUAAGGGCGAUUACUGCAUUAGGAUUCGCGGCUGGGGUGGCAGUCGUAGCACCGAAGGUAA
This 1464-nucleotide ribosomal RNA is filed under the name uncultured Bordetella sp. RNAcentral's name for it is "partial 16S-23S ribosomal RNA intergenic spacer". It matches the Rfam family "Bacterial small subunit ribosomal RNA". Lineage: Bacteria; Pseudomonadati; Pseudomonadota; Betaproteobacteria; Burkholderiales; Alcaligenaceae. The record is from RNAcentral.